This is a long non-coding RNA of Harpia harpyja (harpy eagle), 548 nucleotides long. RefSeq lists it as uncharacterized. Lineage: Eukaryota; Metazoa; Chordata; Aves; Accipitriformes; Accipitridae. The transcript is spliced from 3 exons. The record is from RefSeq and is a predicted model, not a curated record.
UUUCCCACAGGGACUCCUCUGGCUGCUAACGACCGGAUGGAGCUCUGCAUAUUCUAGUCCAUCCUCCUUCUCGUGUUUGAUCCUGGCAUGUCCCUGACAUGCCCCGCACCAAGGGACGGGGUAACAGAUUGGCUUUUGAACAAGCUACUAACACUGUAGGAUUCAGAGGGGCCACAAGGAGCUUGAUUGUGUCCCUUUGGAAACAAAAAUUUCCAAUCUGGAAUAAAUUCAAAUUGGACAGCAACAUCUGAAUUGUUAAUCUCACCUUCUUCAAACCAAUUCCUUGUGGACUGUAAGAAGACAUGUCUUUCUCUUCACCCAGAUCUUACUAGCAAGACACUUACCUGCACACUUCUCUAUAAUACCAGCACUCUGAAUUUAAUCUCCCACAUGCCAAUUUUGCACCAGUGUGACUUCAUUGACCACAGUGGAGUUUCCACAAGCUUGGAUGACUGACUGUACAGAAGAUCAGACUGAAACUCGGCAACUUUACACAAUUAUUUAACUGGAGUUUUCUGUUGUAUGAAAGCUAAAGCUCCUAAAAUAAA